GACGAACGCUGGCGGCGUGCUUAACACAUGCAAGUCGAACGGAAAGGCCCUGCUUUUGUGGGGUGCUCGAGUGGCGAACGGGUGAGUAACACGUGAGUAACCUGCCCUUGACUUUGGGAUAACUUCAGGAAACUGGGGCUAAUACCGGAUAGGAGCUCCUGCUGCAUGGUGGGGGUUGGAAAGUUUCGGCGGUGGGGGAUGGACUCGCGGCGUAUCAGCUUGUUGGUGGGGUAGUGGCUUACCCAGGCUUUGACGGGUAGCCGGCCUGAGAGGGUGAUCGGCGGCAUUGGAGCUGGGACGCGGUCCAGGGGACUACGAGAGGCAGCAGAAGCGUAUGGGAGGCAGUGGGGGGGAAUAUGGCAGAGUGGGGGGAAGCCUGAGGCAGAAACGCUGCGUGCGUAAUGACGUCCUUCGGGUGAUAAACCGCUUUCGCCUGUGACGAAGCGUGAGUGACGGUAAUGGGUAAAGAAGCACCGGCUAACUACGUG
Molecule: ribosomal RNA, 488 nt
Filed under: uncultured bacterium
Lineage: Bacteria
Description: partial 16S ribosomal RNA
Rfam family: Bacterial small subunit ribosomal RNA
Source: RNAcentral